CUACACUCCCAUUUUUUUGCAGGUUCUUAUGACCAAAACACUCUCAGGGGGGCCCCAUGGCAAGUUCAGUCACAAGGCGCUAACACUGACAUAUGUACGGGCAACCAACCUCAACUAGCUAGUAUGGCUAAUCAAGGGCCUUCAUGCAGCACGUGGCAUCAGCCAGCACCCAUGUACCUGCCAUCGACGUCAUACACAGCGUAUUACGCUGGUGGUGACACGGCAAACGUCCCGUGGCAAGCUUCACAAAUUGCAGGUGGAGCACGACAUUUUGGUGUCACAGACCACACAAGAUGGCCAAAUGCAGCACAACAAGGUAAGGAAAAAAAUUGAACCACAAAAAACAUCACUACAUUUGUUGUUUGUAGUUUU
Triticum aestivum (bread wheat) is the source of this 372-nucleotide long non-coding RNA. RefSeq lists it as uncharacterized. Lineage: Eukaryota; Viridiplantae; Streptophyta; Magnoliopsida; Poales; Poaceae. The transcript has 3 exons. The record is from RefSeq and is a predicted model, not a curated record.